RNAcentral lists this ribosomal RNA (469 nucleotides) under uncultured bacterium. Its description in RNAcentral is "partial 16S ribosomal RNA". It matches the Rfam family "Bacterial small subunit ribosomal RNA", at positions 28 to 507 of the family's 1533-position model. The record is from RNAcentral.
GACGAACGCUGGCGGCGUGCUUAACACAUGCAAGUCGAACGAUGAAGCCUUAGCUUGCUUUGGUGGAUUAGUGGCGAACGGGUGAGUAACACGUGAGCAACGUGCCCAGGACUCUGGAAUAACCGCGGGAAACCGUGGCUAAUACCGGAUAGGUGCCGAGGCCGCAUGGUCUUCGGUUGGAAAGUUUUUGCGGUUCUGGAUCGGCUCACGGCCUAUCAGCUUGUUGGUGGGGUAAUGGCCUACCAAGGCGACGACGGGUAGCCGGCCUGAGAGGGUGACCGGCCACACUGGGACUGAGACACGGCCCAGACUCCUACGGGAGGCAGCAGUGGGGAAUAUUGCACAAUGGGCGCAAGCCUGAUGCAGCAACGCCGCGUGGGGGAUGACGGCCUUCGGGUUGUAAACCUCUUUUAGUAGGGAAGAAGCGCAAGUGACGGUACCUGCAGAAAAGGCACCGGCUAACUACGUG